RNAcentral lists this small nuclear RNA (319 nucleotides) under Mus spicilegus (steppe mouse). Its description in RNAcentral is "7SK RNA (ENSMSIG00000001882.1)". The stretch from base 1 to 257 matches the Rfam family "7SK RNA". Rfam says of the family: 7SK was discovered as an abundant small nuclear RNA in the mid-70s but a possible function has only recently been suggested. Two independent studies have found that 7SK RNA binds the CDK9/cyclin T complex (known as elongation factor P-TEFb). Lineage: Eukaryota; Metazoa; Chordata; Mammalia; Rodentia; Muridae. The record is from Rfam by way of RNAcentral.
GGAUUGAAGGACAACCUGGCUAAGGUGUCUGUCAUCCCAUUGAAAGCUAGGGCUUAUCCAAACAAUCUGGCUAGCUAGGUGUGUAUACCCAUCCUCCCUCACUCCUCCUAUAUGCCAUUACUGAAACUAUGUGCUUGGACAGAGUAUGACAUUCCCCUACAGAGGAGGAUAUGGUCUUUAAUCAUGAGUAUACUAGCAGCUGUGCUCCCCACACAAAUUCUACACACACACACACACACACACACACUCAUGGGGGUACAGGGAGAAAGAGAAAGACAGAGAGCCCAAAUUGAUGGUCUAUGAGACCACUACUGAGUUA